RNAcentral lists this long non-coding RNA (278 nucleotides) under Elaeis guineensis (African oil palm). Its description in RNAcentral is "long non-coding RNA (EGUI_LNC016794)". The record is from RNAcentral. Lineage: Eukaryota; Viridiplantae; Streptophyta; Magnoliopsida; Arecales; Arecaceae.
UGGCCAACAUUAUCACAUAAUUUGGAUUUUACUGGUGAAACUCACUUUGAUUGUUUUUGCUAUUGCAUCCAAGGGCCCGGGCUUUGACCUCUCUAUUUUGGUAGAGUCGGUGAUAUCCUAGAAUCCCUCCUCCACCCCCCAAAGUUUGAGCAGCCAUGAACACUCUAGAGGUUGUGAUCUAUGAUCCAUACACUUGUCUUGACUGCAGGUGCUUAGAAAGAUUAGGACAUUUGCAGGUUUCAAAGUUUUGGAUAAUUUUAUCAUAAGUAUAGCAAAUC